This 566-nucleotide ribosomal RNA is filed under the name uncultured bacterium. RNAcentral's name for it is "partial 16S ribosomal RNA". It matches the Rfam family "Bacterial small subunit ribosomal RNA", at positions 355 to 912 of the family's 1533-position model. The record is from RNAcentral.
UGGGGAAUUUUGGACAAUGGGCGAAAGCCUGAUCCAGCAAUGCCGCGUGUGUGAAGAAGGCCUUCGGGUUGUAAAGCACUUUUGUCCGGAAAGAAAUCCUUGGCUCUAAUACAGUCGGGGGAUGACGGUACCGGAAGAAUAAGCACCGGCUAACUACGUGCCAGCAGCCGCGGUAAUACGUAGGGUGCAAGCGUUAAUCGGAAUUACUGGGCGUAAAGCGUGCGCAGGCGGUUUGCUAAGACCGGAUGUGAAAUCCCCGGGCUCAACCUGGGAACUGCAUUGGCUGACUGGCAGGCUAGAGUAUGGCAGAGGGGGGUAGAAUUCCACGUGUAGCAGUGAAGUGCGUAGAGAUGUGGAGGAAUACCGAUGGCGAAGGCAGCCCCUGGGCCAAUACUGACGCUCAUGCACGAAAGCGUGGGGAGCAAACAGGAUUAGAUACCCUGGUAGUCCACGCCCUAAACGAUGUCAACUAGUUGUUGGGGAUUCAUUUCCUUAGUAACGUAGCUAACGCGUGAAGUUGACCGCCUGGGGAGUACGGUCGCAAGAUUAAAACUCAAAUGGAAUUG